UCGAGAAAGCAUAAAGCUAAUAUCCAGAGUUGCAAACAAGUAAAUCAAAACUGCCUGCAAAUAUUUAUGGCAUGUUUACUUACUUGAAACUCAACUUGAAAAAUCAUGCCAGUAACUAAACUUGAAAGUGGGUCAAACCCCUGUUCAACCACAAACAUCAUGCAGGAAAAAAAACCUACUUAGGAUUGUUUGUCAUGAGAGAACUGCCGAACAGACGAUUUGCAUCUCACUGAUAAAAAUAUGGAAUUGUCAGAGGACCCAUGCUGCCCAUUCCAUAUGGAGCCCUUGACCUGGAUUGAUCAAUUGUUUGUCUACAAAGUACCUCACCCGGAUGAAUGUUUUAACGAAGUUUGCUGUGAAAUAAAGGCUGACAACAGAUAUAAGGUGAAGGAUGAUGUCGGGAACGUUCUUUUUAGUAUUCUUGAGGACCUUGAUUAUUGUAGCAGGCAUCUUUAUCCAGGUCGCUCCUUCGUAAUGAAUGUCAUUAAUGAAUAUAAUAAAGAGGUCAUCAGAAUGGUGCACCCGUUUGUUUGCAGCAGCAGCUGCGGAAGACAUGAGCUGGAGGUUCAGUCACCACCAGGCUUUGUCAUCGGACAUGUUCAACAAAACUGGUCUGUUUGCCUGCCUAAAUUCACAGUUGAGAAUAAACAAGGUGAACCGGAAGUUAAGAUUGUGGGACCGUUUGUACCUCUUACCUGCUGCAUGGAUCAGAACUUUGAGCUGGUGUCUUUGAAUGGGGCAGUGACAGACGGAGCAUUUGGCACGAUCGUCAAACCUUUCUCAUGCAGUGUACUAAAUACAGGUGCAGAUUUUGUGCUGAGGUUUCCAAGCAACCUGGAUGCCAAAUUGAAAGCCACACUAUUGGGGGCCUGCAUACUUAUUGACUUUGUGUAUUAUGAUAAGCCAAAACAACCAUUACUAAAUAUAAUAAGCUGUUUUACCAAUCCUCUAUCUGCGAUCAUGUAGUCAAGAUGCCGGAAGAAGAUAACAAGUUCAAUGGAUUUUACUCCCACAAAUCAUGAAAAGCAUCACGGGGCAUAGGAAAAAGGUGGAUGCAUACAAGACAAGGGGCAAACACAGGCAACUAAAUGAAACACGGGUGCCACUUCUUAGAAACCAAGAAUGUUUUCUGGUAACACAUCAUUUUCCGUUAUGGAUACUGUAGGCGUAUACUUCAGAAAAAAAGACCAAAGGAAGACAAAUAUCUGCAGACUGCUUGCCAAAUUAUCCUCCAAUAAAGGCUGAAGAGAAAAGAAUGAUUGUUACUGUGCCAAAAAUUGUGUUUUAAUAUUGCAUCUUUAAACUAUUUUAGUAAACUCAAAUGACACAUUAUCACUAGUUAUUUCAGUUUGUGGGACUCUCUUAUAGAAAGGUGCCAUUGAGAUUGCAUGUGUUCUCGGGAAGUGAAGCAAACACAGCAGUGUAACCACAAACCACUAACUGCUUCUUAGUAAGUGCUGGUGAUGAGAAAAACUACCCCAAAGGGCACUCUGAGUUGUUCGUCAUGGAAAAUCCAUACAGAAUGCUUCUACUUAAAAAUGAUUCUCUGCUGUCUUGAUGAGUAAAAUUAAUUGCACAGACAUGUAUAUUUUCUGCUUCUUUUUAAAAAAAAAAAGCAUUUCAUUGCACAAUAAACAUCUGGAAAUUCUG
This is an RNA transcript of Onychostoma macrolepis, 1650 nucleotides long. It is a transcript of the gene named phospholipid scramblase 2, with no coding region annotated. The record is from RefSeq and is a predicted model, not a curated record. NCBI's taxonomy places the organism in Eukaryota, Metazoa, Chordata, Actinopteri, Cypriniformes, Cyprinidae. The transcript is spliced from 10 exons.